AUUCUCAAGUCUUCGCUCCCACAACUAAACCAAAUCUCUGCAAAGUGCAAACCACCGUAUCUUCUCUUCCCUAUUCUAUUUCCUCCGAACAUCUCCAACAGAUCGCAGGUGAUUUUGCCGUCCUCGCUGGGAGAGAGAGCGAGUGGUUCCGAUGAACGUCGCCCUAGAAGAUGACCGGAGGUGUCUUGGCGGUUGCUUGACAUCGAGGAGCUUCUGAUCCCUUCAGUGGAGCGCGCAAAUCGCGAAGAUGUUCUGAGGUUCUCUCUUGGUGACUCCUCGUCUUUUGGACUAUACAUGCAAUGAGGCAGAGAGAGAGCAGGGCAACUUCCUUUGUGGCUCCCAGUAAUAGAAUUCAACAUCCCAAACAUGUGGUUAAAGAGCAAAAGAAGAGAAUCACUGCCCAAGUCUCUGAUCAUUUUUUCUCGUCAAAGAUGGUAUUUGCACUUUGCUUGGUCUUUCGGUUGGCAAAUUCUUUAUUGGUGCAGACAUAUUUUAACCCAGAUGAGCACUGGCAAGCCCUAGAAGUUGCACACCACAUUACAUUCGGGUAUGGUCAUUUGACAUGGGAAUGGAACAAGGGUAUUCGCAGUUACCUGCAUCCUAUGCUGUUUGCUGUCCUUUAUAAAAUUCUUGCAAUAUUCCAUCUUGAUACCCCUUGGUUUAUGAUGAAGGCUCCACGGCUGGUGCAGUCCGUGUUUUCUGCUGUCGGGGAUUUCUACUUCUACAAAUUCUCAGUUGCUGUAUUUGGUGAUCAAGUUGCCCGAUUGGCACUUUUUUGUCAGCUGACAAAUUGGUUUAUGUUUUUCAGUUUCACUCGAACACUAUCAAAUAGUUUAGAGACAGUUCUUACACUAGUGAGCCUGUAUUACUGGCCUUGUAUGAGGGUUUCCUCCAAAAAAGAGGUUUCAAGAAGGUGGGGAUUGGUUGUUGCAGCAUUAGCUUGUGCCAUUCGACCCACAAGUGCAAUUACAUGGGUGUAUGUUGGCCUUCUAGAGCUCUUUCUUGCACGUGAUAGACUGAGAUUCAUUAUAUUUGAGGUGAUCCCUGUUGGGGUUCUGAUACUUGGACUCACAAGUUUAUUGGAUCGUAUGAUAUAUGGCUCGUGGAUUUUUGUGCCUCUUAAUUUUCUCAAGUUUAAUUUUCUUUCCUCUGGUGGGGACUAUUAUGGAACUCAUAAGUGGCACUGGUAUUUUACUCAGGGAUUUCCUGUCAUGGUCUUCACUUUCUUACCAUUUACUGUUGUUGGCAUCUUCCUGUCUAAACAAUGGAAGCUUUCUGGUCUUAUUGCAUGGGUCUUGGGACUUUACAGUGUAUUAGGUCACAAAGAGUUCAGGUUUGUCCUGCCCGUGCUUCCAAUAGCUCUUAUGUUCGCUGGAUAUUCGUUAGCCAUGAUGAAGAAAACUGAUUCCUCCGAAAGUAAAAGGAAAGGAUCUCUAAACAUCCGUGCUAAAUUCCCUUCAAAAAGGCAGUUGACCAUCGUUUUCUUGCUUGCUUCCAAUGUCCCAAUGGCCUUGUACAUGAGUUUGAUUCAUCAGAGAGGCACUGAGGAUGUAAUGAACUAUCUGUCAGUGGAGGCUUUGAAUGGGAAAGUGAAAAGUAUCCUUUUCCUGAUGCCAUGCCAUGCGACACCUUACUACUCCACCCUGCACCGCGACCUGCCGAUGCAUUUCUUAGACUGCACUCCAAGUGCUGAGAAAGGAACAAUAGAUGAGUCAGAUCGUUUCAUGAUGGACCCAGUUGGCUUCACAUCAAAUUUUGUGAAAAAUUGGUCUCCACCUAGUCACAUUGUAUUAUUUGAUUCAGAAGAAAGACAACUGAGGGAGCUUCUAAUCUUGCAUUCAUUCAAAGAGAUAAAAAGAUUUUUCCAUGCUCAUUUCAAGGUGGAUCAUGGUCUUCAAGCAUCAGUUGCUGUAUAUGCUUUGACAGGCCAGUGAUACUCUCAAAUGCAAAAUCAUUUUGUUGCAAUCUCUGGCUGUUCUAUUCUUUAAGGAAAUCCGAGGAACCAAGCUUAGAGUCUUUGAGGCGGGGUUGGAUAGAGUUUUGUUUAGGGUAAGUAUUUGUGAGACAGAUAUGUAUAUGGUUGGACUUCGUAUGACCAUGGAUGUAUUAUGGAUGUUAUUUUGGGGAUUUGUGUAUGUACUUUGGAAGAUGCUAGUACUUUGGUAUUGUUUUGGGAGUGUAUAUAUUUUGUUCUGUUGUGUUGUAUUAUCCGAGUUGUGAACAAGUGUACUUGGUGCCCAUUUUGGGGCAUCAAGAUACUAUAGUGUAGGGUAUCAGAGCAUUUUUAUAUUUAUAGUAGUAUAAUUUUUGGGUCGUUACAAA
Molecule: RNA transcript, 2322 nt
Organism: Malania oleifera
Lineage: Eukaryota; Viridiplantae; Streptophyta; Magnoliopsida; Santalales; Ximeniaceae
Gene name: mannosyltransferase APTG1
Exons: 11
Source: RefSeq, a predicted model, not a curated record